Long non-coding RNA from Dermochelys coriacea (leatherback sea turtle), 3161 nucleotides. RefSeq lists it as uncharacterized. Lineage: Eukaryota; Metazoa; Chordata; Testudines; Dermochelyidae. The record is from RefSeq and is a predicted model, not a curated record. The transcript is spliced from 2 exons.
AGAGCUGAAAUAAUACAGCAAAAAUAUAAACAUUCAUUUAAAUAAAAUUCAAGCAUUCACAUCAAUCAUAUUCAGAUCUCUUUUCCUUGUUUUUUGUUGCAAAGCAAGUUUGCAUAAAGGGAAAAUAUUGCAUAUACUCUCAUUCAGGUAUAUAUUCACAUGAGCAUUGUCACCAGAGAGUUUGCAAAGCCAUCUUUGAAGGCUCUGUAUGGAUCUGGGAGUAGAUGCACUCACGGGACUCAAAAGACCCAUUGAACAGCGUGAACAACAAAUUCUUCUUUGACGGUCCAUAGAGGCUGAAGUACGUUUGCAUAAACUUUUCAUCGAAUAAUGAGUAAACUUGUGAAAAUCAGAUCAUGGAUAAUUUACCAACAGAAACAAGGAUUCAAUUAUUUGAAUUAUUCACUGCAAACAACUGUAUCAGAUCUAAAUCAUCAUACUUAACAUUGAUAUUUCCCGAUAUUCAUUGUUACAAUCUUUAUCCUCCCAACCCUUUCCUCAUUCGUCCUUCAUAACUUUAUGCUGUCUAAUUUGGAUUUUAAGAUCCUUAAAAUAGGAGCCUCAUUUUAUUUAUCUGCAAAAUACCAUUCACAGCCAUCGUACUGUAUAAAUAAGAAUGCUGCUGAUAAACAUGCAAACUGGAUUACAUGCUCUGGCAAGCCUAUUUAGUAGUUCAAGCACAGACCUAUCAAUGGCAAAUUUUGCUGUCAAGGACCCGAAAACGUACAGCAUAAAGUGUUACACAUUGCUACAGCAGGCUGCCUAUGUCAGAACAUUCAAAGGUUAAACAACAUGGGUGCAAACAAUAAUUAAUGGAAAAGCCUUAACACUUCCAAUUAAAAACAACAAUGAUUAUUUCUGGUUAACACCUUUAUACUUGGUAAAUAUUUAGCUAACUCUAUUAUUAAAAAUUGAUUACCAGAGCAAUUUUUAGAGGCGUACAUUACAGUCCAUUCCACUGGACAAGACAUAGGACUGGAAGCAUCCUUCUAUUUCUAGAUCUUCAACUGACUUGCUAUAAGAUGUUGGCCAAGUCAUUUAAUCUCUGUGCCUCUUUUCUCACCUGUAAAAUGGAUGAAACAGUAUCAUCCACUUUUUCCAAGUACUUUAAGAUUAUUGUUAGCAGGUAAAAAAUGCACUCUUUCUAUAUAUUGACAGAUUCACAAACAGUAAAUGCAAUGUUCUCCAUUACUUCAUAUGGUAUUCAAGUGACUCUCAAUGUGUCUCUGUUAUUUUAUAAGAGGAGGAAAGCCAUAAUGUACAAUAUGACAGAAAAUUCACAUCCCAUUUAAAAUAACGGGAAAUCAGCAACUUCAAAAGACAUAAGAGUAAGCUCUUAAUUUUUUUUGAAUAAUUUAACAACUGAUUUAAACACUUACAUUUAUCAAAACAUUUUAAAAGUAGAAUUCACAAUUUUGAAGACCACUGUCUUCUCUAUGCUUCCUGGAUUCUCGGUCUUACUCUACAUCAGACUCAGGAUGGCAGCUUCCUGUACGUUAAGUAUUCUUUAAUAAAUUAAAAACACAUUUUUUAGUUAUUUGUUCUUUGAAGUUAGAUACAGCGGUUAUAAUUUCUUUAAAUACUUCUCCUUCCCCCCAAAAUACCAGCAAGUUUAAUUCCAUAUCAAAUGCUUUCAUUUCAUCUUCCUAUUCUUUCACAUGGCACAAAGGACCAUGGAGACAUUACUCAAGGAGAAGCAUCAAGAGGGGAAAUUCAACCCUCCCCCCAUAGAUUCCUUUCUAAUUUCAAGAGUGGACAAAUCUGAUUACAGAAGCAUCAUGAUUUGUCUCAGCUGAUAUAUGGCACAAGGACAUAGUCAUGCCCCAAAAGAACGUUCCACAUGGCCUGGAACUUGCCUCCAACAGUGGCUAAUAUUGCAAGUUUCAGGGGAAAAGCAUUAACCCUCUCCAUUCUCACCCCAAUCCCCAAAUAUUCCUAAUCUUAUACUAUACUAUUGAAGAGGCAUCAUGCUCUAGAUAUGAGCUCUGCCUUAUGGCAUCAUCUGUUGCUCUGUCAAUUUCAGCACUGGGAGAUCACAGCAUAGUAAAGGAAAUGCUGGGCCUUUGAGGCCAAGGAGAAGCCUUUAAACAAAUACAGAAAAUUAUGAAGUGAAAGAAAGGCUCAGAGAAAGUCAGCUGUAUUUGAAAAGUUCAGAAUAAAAGAAUCUCAAAUAUUUAAAGGCAUCACAGCAUUCAUUCAUCAUAUAAAUGCGUUAGUCCAUGGACAGCCAAAAAAAAUCUUACUAAAAGUUCUUAAAACACACACACACCAGGAUAUACAAAAAAGUUUUCUUUGCAAAAAAUAUGAAAAGGUGCAUACUGCAUACAUGACAAGAAAAGAAUCACCUGAUCUUUUAUAGUUAUCAGAAUCACGUUUUAGAACAGCACGUUAAUUAUUCAUUUUAUUACUGGUUCCAGAAAAAAAAAAUUCCAUAAAGAAUAAUCUGAUUUACAGUUUAGAUGUAAAGCUUCAUCGUAAUAUCCAACAUACCAUCCCUGCCAUUGUAUACAUCACAGUUAAACAAUCUGUAUCUACUCUGCCACCAGAAUAACACAGCAUGAUGGUCUUCAUAAAUACAUCUGGUGUUUAGGUUUGCUUUUUUACAACAAAAUAAUGCUUUGACUGUUACUAAAACAGUCUGACUGUUCUGUUACACUUAAAGCAAAUGAAAAGCUAUGAGAUUUAUCCAAACUCAAGAGGAAUAUUAGCUGUUUAACAACUAGAAAUGGGUAGGUUACAAGUUUCAAAAGAAAAAACAAAAUCUAGCUGCCAAUAGUAUCAUUAGUCAUUGUGCAGAACAAGGACAUAGCAAUCCGAACAGACUAUUAGCACAGUGCUCUCUUUUUACAAGGUACAUAACUUCUGAGUGGAAAGGAACAGGAAAAAUCACAAUGAGACAACUAUCUAUCCCUGUAGCUUUAUGGAAACAUACUGUCACGCAUAUGAAUUAUUUCCUUUUUAAAGCUCAAAUUGAAACCAAAAGUUCAUUUAAUACUGUGGCAAUUAUACCCUUUAGUUUCCAUUUACAUCAAAUACAAAUCAGAAAACUGCCCCAAAACACUGAUUUUCACAUCACAAAACAGUUGUCAAAAUCUACCAUUUGUAACACAAUUCUCUGGUGUUGCAGUUAACAUUUUGGUUCUUCAGACAACAGUCACAAG